AUGGACCUUUCUCGAAACAACUUGUCUGGUCAAGUUCCGGACUUCUUUGAGGCUUUCAGCUCCCUGUCACUUCUCAAUUUGUCAUUCAACAACCUGGAGGGACCCAUGCCAACUGGUGGGAUCUUCCAAAAUGCAAGCAAGGUGUUCGUCCAAGGGAACAAAGAGUUGCGUGCUGUCUCGCCACUAUUGAGUUUGCCACUUUGCCACACAGCUGCCUCUCAACAAAGGCAUAGAUCCAACAUUGCGAAUAUAGUAGGAUUUUCUGUUCUUGCCUUAGUGAUGUUAUCAUGUUUUGGAGUCAUUUUCUUGAAGAAGAGAAAGAAAGUCAAACAAGAAGAUCAUCCAUCCUUUGAGGAGUUAAAGAAGUUCACAUAUGCUGAUUUAGUGAAAGCAACAAAUGGUUUCUCUUUAGCCAACUUGGUUGGUUCAGGAAAGUAUGGGUCCGUAUACAAAGGUAGAAUCGAGUCUGAAGAACAUGCAGUUGCCAUAAAAGUUUCCAAACUUGAUCAGCCUGGAGCGACAAAAAGCUUCAUUGCUGAAUGUCAGGCACUCAGAAACACUCGUCAUCGUAAUCUUGUGAGGGUGAUCACUGUAUGCUCGACAAGUGAUCUGACAGGACAUGAGUUCAAAGCUCUUUUCCUUGAAUAUAUGGUUAAUGGCAACCUUGAAAGUUGGCUCCAUCCAACACUCCAUGAGCAUCAUCUGAAAAGGCCCUUGUCUUUGAGUUCAAGAAUAGCAAUAACAGUGGACAUAGCAGCUGCUUUGGAUUACCUGCAUAACCAUUGCACGCCUCCUAUGACACACUGUGAUCUGAAGCCAAGCAAUGUCCUUCUGGAUGAUGUCAUGGGUGCAUGUGUUGGCGACUUCGGGUUGACUAAGUUCGUACACAGUUAUACUUCAACAAUUGAUGGUUCUACAAGCUUAGUUGGACCAAGAGGAUCAGUUGGAUACAUUGCACCAGAAUAUGGCUUUGGGAGCAAAAUCUCCACUGAGGGUGAUGUAUACAGCUAUGGAGUUAUCAUCUUAGAAAUGCUCACAGGAAAGCGUCCAACUGAUGAGAUGUUUAAAGAUGGCCUGAGCCUUUACAAUUUUGUGGAAAAAUCAUUUCCUGAAAAGAUUGGUGAGAUUCUAGAUCCGAGAAUCAUUCCCUGUUAUGCGGACCAAGAUGAAGAAGCAGGAAGGGCUGUGCACCAAGAAAAUCAUCAUCAAAUGGCUGGAAUGAGCUGCAUCAUCAGGCUUGUUAAGAUUGGCCUCAUGUGUGCUGCGGAGACACCUAAAUAUCGUCCCUCGAUGCAAGACGUUUAUAUUGAAGUCACCGCAAUCAAAGAAGCAUUUUCAUCACUGCAGGGUUGA
This 1353-nucleotide ribosomal RNA is filed under the name Triticum aestivum (bread wheat). Its description in RNAcentral is "partial small subunit ribosomal RNA". The record is from RNAcentral. Lineage: Eukaryota; Viridiplantae; Streptophyta; Magnoliopsida; Poales; Poaceae.